CCUGGUGGCUCAGACGGUAAGGCGUCUGCCUGCAAUGCAGGAAACCUGGGUUCAAUUCCUGGGUCAGGA
This 69-nucleotide transfer RNA is filed under the name Ovis aries (sheep). It matches the Rfam family "tRNA". Rfam says of the family: Transfer RNA (tRNA) molecules are approximately 80 nucleotides in length. Their secondary structure includes four short double-helical elements and three loops (D, anti-codon, and T loops). The record is from Rfam by way of RNAcentral. Lineage: Eukaryota; Metazoa; Chordata; Mammalia; Artiodactyla; Bovidae.